UACGGGGGGAGCAAGCGUUGUUCGGAUUUACUGGGCGUAAAGGGUGCGUAGGUGGCGCCGUAAGUCGGGUGUGAAAUUUCGGAGCUUAACUCCGAAACUGCAUUUGAUACUGCGGUGCUUGAGGACUGGAGAGGAGACUGGAAUUUAUGGUGUAGCAGUGAAAUGCGUAGAUAUCAUAAGGAAGACCAGUGGCGAAGGCGGGUCUCUGGACAGUUCCUGACACUGAGACACGAAGGCCAGGGGAGCAAACGGG
RNAcentral lists this ribosomal RNA (253 nucleotides) under uncultured prokaryote. RNAcentral's name for it is "partial 16S ribosomal RNA". It matches the Rfam family "Bacterial small subunit ribosomal RNA", at positions 524 to 776 of the family's 1533-position model. The record is from RNAcentral.